RNAcentral lists this ribosomal RNA (1025 nucleotides) under Erioscyphella sclerotii. Its description in RNAcentral is "SSU rRNA". It matches the Rfam family "Eukaryotic small subunit ribosomal RNA", at positions 70 to 1112 of the family's 1831-position model. The record is from RNAcentral. Lineage: Eukaryota; Fungi; Ascomycota; Leotiomycetes; Helotiales; Lachnaceae.
CAUCUAUACGGUGAAACUGCGAAUGGCUCAUUAAAUCAGUUAUCGUUUAUUUGAUAGUACCUUACUACUUGGAUAACCGUGGUAAUUCUAGAGCUAAUACAUGCUAAAAACCCCGACUUCGGAAGGGGUGUAUUUAUUAGAUAAAAAACCAAUGCCCUUCGGGGCUCCUUGGUGAUUCAUAAUAACUUAACGAAUCGCAUGGCCUUGUGCCGGCGAUGGUUCAUUCAAAUUUCUGCCCUAUCAACUUUCGAUUGUAAGGUAUUGGCUUACAAUGGUUUCAACGGGUAACGGGGAAUUAGGGUUCUAUUCCGGAGAAGGAGCCUGAGAAACGGCUACUACAUCCAAGGAAGGCAGCAGGCGCGCAAAUUACCCAAUCCCGACACGGGGAGGUAGUGACAAUAAAUACUGAUACAGGGCUCUUUUGGGUCUUGUAAUUGGAAUGAGUACAAUUUAAAUCCCUUAACGAGGAACAAUUGGAGGGCAAGUCUGGUGCCAGCAGCCGCGGUAAUUCCAGCUCCAAUAGCGUAUAUUAAAGUUGUUGCAGUUAAAAAGCUCGUAGUUGAACCUUGGGCCUGGCUGGCCGGUCCGCCUCACCGCGUGCACUGGUCCGGCCGGGUCUUUCCUUCUGGGGAGCCGCAUGCCCUUCACUGGGUGUGUCGGGGAACCAGGACUUUUACUUUGAAAAAAUUAGAGUGUUCAAAGCAGGCCUAUGCUCGAAUACAUUAGCAUGGAAUAAUAGAAUAGGACGUGUGGUUCUAUUUUUGUUGGUUUCUAGGACCGCCGUAAUGAUUAAUAGGGRAUAGUCGGGGGCGUCAGUAUUCAAUUGUCAGAGGUGAAAUUCUUGGAAUUUAUUGAAGACUAACUACUGCGAAAGCAUUCGCCAAGGAUGUUUUCAUUAAUCAGUGAACGAAAGUUAGGGGAUCGAAGACGAUCAGAUACCGUCGUAGUCUUAACCAUAAACUAUGCCGACUAGGGAUCGGGCGAUGUUAUCUUUUUGACUCGCUCGGCACCUUACGAGAAAUCAA